UUAACUAUUAUAUAGUACUCAGACAUCACUAAAAUUCAGAGUUUGGUCCUCUGGCAGGCACGCGCAGGCAGAGCCCACGGUGGAAGGCCACGGCCUGCCAAAGCAACAAGAGUAUAUAGACACGGGUGGGGUCUACCGGUUUCCCGGCAUCCUUUUAAUGAUCCUUCCGCAGGUUCACCUACGGAAA
This 187-nucleotide unclassified non-coding RNA is filed under the name uncultured fungus. RNAcentral describes it as "sequence contains ITS1". Lineage: Eukaryota; Fungi. The record is from RNAcentral.